Long non-coding RNA from Rattus norvegicus (Norway rat), 1925 nucleotides. RefSeq lists it as uncharacterized. Lineage: Eukaryota; Metazoa; Chordata; Mammalia; Rodentia; Muridae. The record is from RefSeq and is a predicted model, not a curated record.
UUUAUUUUAAGCUUCUGCAGGGGGAAGAGCACUGGUGAGCAGGCUGGCUAUGGAAAAAGCAUGAAAGCAAAAUCAGUGUUGGAACCAACAAGGGCACUCGGAUGGCAGCUGUGGACAAACCUCUGUUUUCAAAGGGAAUGGCUAAUUAACCUUUGAUGGAUAGAACAAGAGAUGGAUUUAGUGCCGAAUUCUAUCAGACCUUCAAAGAAAACCUAUAACCAAGACUCUUCAAACUAUUCCACUAAAUAGAAAUGGAGGGAACACUACCCAAUUCAUUCUACGAAGCCACAAUUGCGCUUAUACCUGAAGCACACAAAGACACAACAAAGAAAGAGAACUUCAGACCAAUUUCCCUUAUGAAUAUUGAUGCAAAAAUAAUAAAAUUUUCACAAACUGAAUCACAGAACACAUCAAAAUGAUCAUCCAUCAUGAUCAAGUAGUCUUUAUCCCAAAGAUGCUGGGAUGGUUCAAUAUAUGGAAAUCCAUCAACAUAUUCCACUAUAUAAACAAACUCAAAGAAAAAUAAAACCAACAAGAUCAUCUCAUCAGAUGCUGAGAAAGCAGUUGACAAAAUUUCAACACCUGUUCUUGAUAAAUUCUUGGAAAGAUCAGGAAUUCAAGGCCCACAGCUAAACAUAGAAAAAGCAACAUACAGCCAACUAGUAGCCAACAUCAAACUAAAUGGAGAGAAACUUGAAGCAAUCCCACUAAAAUCAGGGACUAGACAAGGCUGCCCACUCUCUACCUACUUAUUCAAUAUAGUACUCGAAGCCACAGCAAUUAGGACAAUGAAAGGAGGUCAAAGAGAUACAAAUUGUAAAGGAAGAAGUCAAAAUAUCACUAUUUGCAGAUGAUAUGAUAGUAUACUUAAAGGACCCCAAAAAUCCUACCAGAGAACUCCUACAACUGAGAAACAACUUCAGCAAAGUGGCUGGAUAAAAAUUAACUCAAACAAAUCAGUAGCCUUCCUCUACUCAAAGAAUAAACAGGCUGAGAAAGAAAUUAUGAAAAUGACACCCUUCACAGUAGUCACAAAUAAUAUAAAAUACCUUGGUGUAACUAUAACCAAGAAAGUGAAAGAUCUGUAUGACAAGAACUUCAAGUCUCUGAAGAAAGAAAUUGAGGAAGAUCUCAGAAGAUGGAAAGAGCUCCCGUGCUCAUGAAUUGGCCAGAUUAAUAUUGUAAAAAUGGCCAUCUUGCCUAAAGCAUCUACAUAUUAAAUACAAUUCCCAUCAAGAUGCCAACCCAAUUCUUCAUAGAGUUAGAAAGAGCAAUUUGCAAAUUCAUUUGGAAUAACAACAACAAAAAAAAAACAGAUAGCAAAAACUAUUCUCAACAAUAAAAGAACAUCUGGGGUGCCCCGCGCUAUCUCACCAGCAAGAACACGCGGGGACACACGAAUCCUUCUGUAGCCAAAAUGUUUAUUGUAUCUUAAAGAGAGGGCGCCGAGGCGCCGGCAUGGCACAGCUUAUAUACUCCCUAGCGUGGUGCAUCCACACCUGAUUGGUCGCUUACCCAUGAUCUCAUUAGGCACGCCCCGGAGUGGGCAAAGACCUGGCACGAAGGCACUCUUGCACAUGCACACACAGUUAACUUCCUGAAAGAAAGUCGGCUGGCACGGCGGAGGCCAGCACCAUCUUGUAAUGGCGAAAUCUAUCCCGGCUUUCCACGUGGGGCGCAGUGGAAGCCAGCGCCAUCUUGUGGUGGCGAAUGUUAUUGCGGCUCUCUACACUGGGGGAAUUACCAUCCCUUAUGUCAAGCUGUAUUACAGAGCAAUAGUGAUGAAAACUGUAUGGUAUUGAUACAGAGAUGGGCAGAUAGCUCAAUGGAACAGAAUUGAAGAUGCAGAAACAAACCCACACACCUAUGGUCACUUGAUCGUUGACAAAGGAACUAAAACCAUCCAGUGGAAAAAAAACCAGCAU